GCGGGCGUGAUGUAGCGGCAGCGUGCGACCUUCCCAAGGUUGAUGUGCGGGUUCGACUCCCGCCGCCCGCUCCA
Molecule: transfer RNA, 74 nt
Rfam family: tRNA
About the family: Transfer RNA (tRNA) molecules are approximately 80 nucleotides in length. Their secondary structure includes four short double-helical elements and three loops (D, anti-codon, and T loops). Further hydrogen bonds mediate the characteristic L-shaped molecular structure. tRNAs have two regions of fundamental functional importance: the anti-codon, which is responsible for specific mRNA codon recognition, and the 3' end, to which the tRNAs corresponding amino acid is attached (by aminoacyl-tRNA synthetases). tRNAs cope with the degeneracy of the genetic code in two manners: having more than one tRNA (with a specific anti-codon) for a particular amino acid; and 'wobble' base-pairing, i.e. permitting non-standard base-pairing at the 3rd anti-codon position.